GAUGAACGCUGGCGGCGUGCCUAAUACAUGCAAGUCGAGCGAACGGACGAGAAGCUUGCUUCUCUGAUGUUAGCGGCGGACGGGUGAGUAACACGUGGAUAACCUACCUAUAAGACUGGGAUAACUUCGGGAAACCGGAGCUAAUACCGGAUAAUAUUUUGAACCGCAUGGUGCAAAAGUGAAAGACGGUCUUGCUGUCACUUAUAGAUGGAUCCGCGCUGCAUUAGCUAGUUGGUAAGGUAACGGCUUACCAAGGCAACGAUGCAUAGCCGACCUGAGAGGGUGAUCGGCCACACUGGAACUGAGCCACGGUCCAGACUCCUACGGGAGGCAGCAGUAGGCAAUCUUCCGCAAUGGGCGAAAGCCUGACGGAGCAACGCCGCGUGAGUGAUGAAGGUCUUCGGAUCGUAAAACUCUGUUAUUAGGGAAGAACAUAUGUGUAAGUAACUGUGCACAUCUUGACGGUACCUAAUCAGAAAGCCACGGCUAACUACGUG
RNAcentral lists this ribosomal RNA (497 nucleotides) under uncultured bacterium. RNAcentral describes it as "partial 16S ribosomal RNA". It matches the Rfam family "Bacterial small subunit ribosomal RNA", at positions 28 to 507 of the family's 1533-position model. The record is from RNAcentral.